GAUGAACGCUGGCGGCGUGCCUAAUACAUGCAAGUCGAGCGAACGGACGAGAAGCUUGCUUCUCUGAUGUUAGCGGCGGACGGGUGAGUAACACGUGGAUAACCUACCUAUAAGACUGGGAUAACUUCGGGAAACCGGAGCUAAUACCGGAUAAUAUUUUGAACCGCAUGGUUCAAAAGUGAAAGACGGUCUUGCUGUCACUUAUAGAUGGAUCCGCGCUGCAUUAGCUAGUUGGUAAGGUAACGGCUUACCAAGGCAACGAUGCAUAGCCGACCUGAGAGGGGGACCGGCCAAAAUGGGACGGGGAAGCAGACCGGGAUACGACGGGAGGCCGAAGCAGGGAAGGUUCGGGAAGGGGGGAAAGCCUGACGGAGGAAAGAAGCGUGAUGAAUGAAGGGCUCGGGAUCGUAAACCUCUUUUAUUAAGGAAAAAAAAAUGUUUAAGUAACCGUGGACACUUUGACGGUACCAAAUAAGAAAGCAACGGCUAACGACG
Molecule: ribosomal RNA, 495 nt
Filed under: uncultured bacterium
Lineage: Bacteria
Description: partial 16S ribosomal RNA
Rfam family: Bacterial small subunit ribosomal RNA
Source: RNAcentral